RNAcentral lists this transfer RNA (76 nucleotides) under Alphaproteobacteria bacterium. RNAcentral describes it as "tRNA-Trp". It matches the Rfam family "tRNA". Rfam says of the family: Transfer RNA (tRNA) molecules are approximately 80 nucleotides in length. Their secondary structure includes four short double-helical elements and three loops (D, anti-codon, and T loops). Further hydrogen bonds mediate the characteristic L-shaped molecular structure. tRNAs have two regions of fundamental functional importance: the anti-codon, which is responsible for specific mRNA codon recognition, and the 3' end, to which the tRNAs corresponding amino acid is attached (by aminoacyl-tRNA synthetases). tRNAs cope with the degeneracy of the genetic code in two manners: having more than one tRNA (with a specific anti-codon) for a particular amino acid; and 'wobble' base-pairing, i.e. permitting non-standard base-pairing at the 3rd anti-codon position. The record is from RNAcentral. Lineage: Bacteria; Pseudomonadati; Pseudomonadota; Alphaproteobacteria. RNAcentral also lists the same sequence under 1 other name.
AGGAGUAUAGCUCAAUUGGUAGAGCACCGGUCUCCAAAACCGGGGGCUGGGGGUUCGAGUCCCUCUACUCCUGCCA